This 458-nucleotide ribosomal RNA is filed under the name uncultured bacterium. Its description in RNAcentral is "bacterial SSU rRNA". It matches the Rfam family "Bacterial small subunit ribosomal RNA", at positions 29 to 531 of the family's 1533-position model. The record is from RNAcentral.
AACGAACGCUGGCGGCAGGCCUAACACAUGCAAGUCGAGCGCCCCGCAAGGGGAGCGGCGGACGGGUGAGUAACGCGUGGGAACGUACCCUUUGCUACGGAAUAGCCUCGGGAAACUGGGAGUAAUACCGUAUGUGCCCUUCGGGGAAGGAUUUAUCGGCAAAGGAUCGGCCCGCGUUGGAUUAGGUAGUUGGUGGGGUAAUGGCCUACCAAGCCGACGAUCCAUAGCUGGUUUGAGAGGAUGAUCAGCCACACUGGGACUGAGACACGGCCCAGACUCCUACGGGAGGCAGCAGUGGGGAAUCUUAGACAAUGGGCGCAAGCCUGAUCUAGCCAUGCCGCGUGAGCGAUGAAGGCCUUAGGGGUUGUAAAAGCUCUUUCAGUGGGGAAGAUAAUGACUGUACCCACAGAAGAAGCCCCGGCUAACUCCGUGCCAGCAGCCGCGGUAAUGUCUGUACU